RNAcentral lists this ribosomal RNA (206 nucleotides) under uncultured bacterium. RNAcentral's name for it is "partial 16S ribosomal RNA". It matches the Rfam family "Bacterial small subunit ribosomal RNA", at positions 568 to 774 of the family's 1533-position model. The record is from RNAcentral.
CACGUAGGCGGAUCGAUCAGUUAGGGGUGAAAUCCCAGGGCUCAACCCUGGAACUGCCUCUAAUACUGUCGAUCUGGAGUUCGAGAGAGGUGAGUGGAAUUCCGAGUGUAGAGGUGAAAUUCGUAGAUAUUCGGAGGAACACCAGUGGCGAAGGCGGCUCACUGGCUCGAUACUGACGCUGAGGUGCGAAAGCGUGGGAGCAAACA